This is a long non-coding RNA of Dicentrarchus labrax (European seabass), 763 nucleotides long. RefSeq lists it as uncharacterized. The record is from RefSeq and is a predicted model, not a curated record. The transcript has 2 exons. NCBI's taxonomy places the organism in Eukaryota, Metazoa, Chordata, Actinopteri, Moronidae.
CAACAACCGCCAUAUGCUUUUUCUUUUUCUUUACCAUAUCAAACAGUCCUACACGCAACACGUGAUGCAACAGCGCAUAGCAAACAAUAAGUUUCCGAGGGAUCAAUGGAUAUAUGGAGUCAUAAAUCUGUUGGAACUUUUGCCAAUUAUCGUCUGAAAACACCCGGACUCCCCAAGAACCUAUGCCAGGAUCCUGUUUGUGGAUUUCAGCUCUGCUUUCAACAGCAUCAUCCCAGCUUUGUUACAGGACAAGCUCUCCCAGCUCACUGUGCCUGCCUCCACCUGCAGGUGGAUCACAGACUUCCUGUCUGACAGGAAACAGCAUGUGAAGCUGGGGAAAAAUGCCUCUGUCUCUCAGUCCAUCAGCACUGGAUCCCCCCAGGGCUGCGUUCUUUCUCCUCUGCUCUUCUCCCUGUACACCAACAGCUGCACCUCCAGUCACCAGUCCGUCAGGCUCCUGAAGUUUGUUGAUGACACCUCCCUCAUUGGGCUCACCUCUGGUGGAGAUGAGUCCGCCUAGAAGAGAUGGUGGAGAUGGUUGUGGACUUUAGAAAGAACCCAGCCCCACCUGCCCCCAUCAUCCUGUUUGACUCCCCAGUUGACUCUGUGGAGUCCUUCCGCUUCCUGGGUACCAUAAUCCUUUUUGUUUGAGUUGUAUAUUUUUGUGUGAUUUGUAUAUUUUAUGCACCAAUGCACAAAGAGAAAUUCCUUGUAUGUGUAAAAACCUACCUGGCAAUAAACCUAAUUCUGAUUCUGAUUCUGA